GGAUUUAUAGCGGAGGGGGUCGGCGCGCUACGACGAGAUUUGACGGAGAGGGUCGAUGAUCUAGGACGAGAGUUGACAGGGAGGGUCGACGAUAUGGGAUGAGAGUUGAUAGGGAGGGUUGACGAUCUAUCCCAUGACGUUGGAAUACUACAGUCUUCCGUUGUCGACCUUCAGAAUACAGUAGCGGCGUUUAGAGGAGACUACAUUUUCGAAAAGUACUUAUGGACCCAAAACGGACACUGUUUGCAAAAGUUACCCUCAAUUCUUUGAACGUCGACAAUUCAAAUAUGCAAGUGCUCGUUCUUCGAAAAAUGGACGAAAUCCCAAUUACGUCACAACGAAGUCGUGAGUUCAAUCCAAAACGGUCGCUACAUUUUCGAAAAAUACUUAUGGGCCCAAAACGGAUACCGUGUGCAAAAGUUACGCUCAAUUUUUCGAACGCCGACAAUCCAAAUAUUGCAAGUGCUCGUUCCUCGAAAAAUGGUCGAAAUUCCUCAUACGUCAUGAUGAAGCCGUGAGUUCAAUCCAAAACGGUUGCUACAUUUUCGAAAUUUACUUAUGGGCUCAAAACGGACACCGUGUGCUAAAGUUACCCUCAAUUCUUCGAACGCCGACAAUCCAAAUAAGUUCCACUUGGCAUUGUCUUGAACGCUUUCCACUUGGCAUUGUCCACCUCCCUGAAUAAGUUCGGGUGCGUCCCAUCGAUGAACGUCCUCCUCUUGGUCUCAGCCGUGAAGGGGGAAAUAACAUACUGUGACGGCACUCUCAACCUCUUACCGACCACCUGCUCCGUCUCGUCAACAGCAUGUCUCUUACCCUCAAUCACGUCGAGCGUCCUCUCGACCUCUGGGGCCACCUCCUCCGCCCCUCCCAUUGGGGCCUCCCCCUCCCCCUCCCCCUCCGCCGCCGCCACCACCUCCAUCCCUCCCGUCGGGGCCUCCCCCUCUGUCGCCACCUCCUCCGCCCCUUCCAUCGGGGCCACCCCCUCCAUAGACAACCACAAUAACUCCAAUGUCUCAUCACGUCAAAAAUGUGGGUGACCCUCCUCUCCUCACCAUCUCUGCCACUCUCUCGAUCAUGAUCUCCGCCAUCCCCUCUGUCUACCCAUCGUCUGCCGGCUAAAUCUCCUCUAAGCGCCGCUACUGUAUCCUGAAGGUCGACAACGGAAGACUGUAGUAUUCCAACGUCAUGGGAUAGAUCGUCAACCCUCCCUGUCAACUCUCGUCCCAUAUCGUCGACCCUUCCUGUCAGAUAGUCGACCUUCCCUGCCAGAUCGUCG
RNAcentral lists this long non-coding RNA (1279 nucleotides) under Olea europaea subsp. europaea. The record is from RNAcentral. Lineage: Eukaryota; Viridiplantae; Streptophyta; Magnoliopsida; Lamiales; Oleaceae.